RNAcentral lists this long non-coding RNA (10762 nucleotides) under Coffea arabica (coffee). Its description in RNAcentral is "long non-coding RNA (CARA_LNC004834)". Lineage: Eukaryota; Viridiplantae; Streptophyta; Magnoliopsida; Gentianales; Rubiaceae. The record is from RNAcentral.
AUUACAUUACUAGGGUCCAUAGAUUUUUUAUCUCUUUUUAUUUUUGGUUCUGCUAACUGAUCUUUAAAUUCUUCCUAUUUUGAAGAGUUGCAGAUUAAAGUCAAAAAAGAAUUUCGCAAGCUUGAACCAUUAUUGCAAUCUAUUUUUGCAGUUCCAUUAUCAAGACUAUAUGAUUGUACACAAUUGCUUACAAUGUCCUAAGAUAUCUCAUUAAUUGCUUGCUUUUUGUUACAGGUACCCUACACUGCACUCUUUCCUAUUUCAUGAACUUAAAAUUGCAACAGAGUCGCUUUUGGAUGGGUCUUCUGGACAACAAGGAUCUAAUUUGGCAAAACUUGUGCACCCAAGCUUGUGCCCAAUUCUGAUUCUGUUGUCACGGCUAAAACCUUCAGCAGUUACAAGUGAAGCUGGGGACAGUUUGGACCCUUUCAUAUUCUUGCCAUUCAUCAGGAAGUGCUCUGUCCAAAGCAAUUUCCGUAUCCGAAUUCUUGCUUCCAGAGCUCUAACGGGCCUGAUAUCGAAUGAGAAAUUGCCCAUUGUGCUGCUUAAUAUUGCCUCUGAGUUACCUUGCACAAGGAAUGUCUCUUCUGAUGCAUCCAACUCAAUUGACACACAAAAUGGUACUUGCCAUACUUUUAAUUCACUUCAUGGGAUGCUGCUGCAGUUGAACACGCUUCUCGAUAACAAUUGUAGAUGCCUUGCUGAUUCCUCCAAAAAAGAUGCAAUUCUGAAGGAUCUGAUUGAAAUUCUUGCAAUACGUUCAUGGAUUGGUAAGUUUCAACUCUGCCCUUGCCCUAUCCUGAAUAGCUGCUUUCUUGGGGUACUGGAUAACAUGCUCAGUAUUGCAACAACGUGUCAAAUGAGCAGAAGUAUUGCUGCUAUUUGGAACCUCGUAUGGGAGUUAUCUUCAGAAUUUUUGGAUUUAGAAGAACCUCAGAAAUUGUCAUAUCAUGAUCCAACUAUUGUAGAACUUCGCAAACAAGCAGCAGUGUCAUAUUUCAAUUGCUUAUACAAAACGUCUAAGGAAAUUGCUGAAGAGGAUAUUUUGAUGCCUGGAACAUGUUCCUCAACUGCUUCAAGUUUGUUAAGAGUAUCUGAUUUGGACAGUGCUCUCUCAAGAUUUCAGGAAAGGCUGAGAGGCUGCAUGUCUGACACAUCAUACGAAGUUCGUCUUGCAACUUUCAAGUGGCUAGUUUUAUUUCUGAAAUCAGCAGGAUUAAAAAUUGAAGGAGGCAAUUCAUCUUCUCAUGAGAUCAAGACAUAUUUGUUGUACAAUAUUGAUCUCCAGAAAAAACUAGUGGAGCUUCUAGCGACCGAGAAUAACCAUAAAUGCACAUAUUACAUUCUUAAAAUUAUCUACAUGUGGAACAUGUUGGAAUGUGAAGAAAAGGGUGAACUAGAUGUCAGCCUUGGAUCAAUUGGUGUGGAUCGCAGUUCAUUGUGGUGGUUUUGGGACAAGUUAGUGUCCAUGUACAAGGUCACUAGACAUUCAAAGAAUCGACAAGUGCUCAUCUGCUGCAUGGGGAUAUGUGUAAAGCAGUUUGCUAGCAUAUUCUCAAGCUUUGUUUGCUCUAACAUGAAGAAGGAAGAGAUAGCCAUAUCCAGCCGAUAUGAUCUUGAUGGGAGACUCUCCAAGUUUUACGAUUGCAUCAAUUAUUUUGUUGAACUAAUACAACUACACAGUUCUGCAUCAGAGCCUGUAAAUAUGCGGAACGCAGCUGCAGAAUCAAUAGUUGCAUCUGGUUUACUUGAUCAUGCAAAGAUAGUUGGUUCUUUAGCCUUCAGUAACAGCAUUCCAGGCGAAAAUCCUAGUUCAGAAUUCAAAGUAGAGGAGGUUGUGAACAUAUAUGGCCAUAAGAUUCUGAAUCUAUGGUUGACAUGCGUAAGACUUUUGGAGGAUGAAGAUGUGGAACUCAGAAGGAAGCUUGCCCUUGAUGUUCAGAAGAGUGUUACAUCCACAACGUGUCAAAAUGUUGAACUGGUUCCCAGCCAAGUGGAGAAGGUUAUUGAGAUGAGUUUUGACCAUCUCUCUUCAAUCUUUGGUCACUGGAUUGACUACUUUGAUAGUCUCUGCAAUUAUGUUUUUAAUGCUGUAAACUCUGUGGUCAGUGUUGUGCCAAGAGGAGACCUUGUGAGACGUGUUUUUGACAAGGAGAUUGAUAACCAUCAUGAAGAAAAGCUAUUGAUCUGUCAGAUUUGUUGCUCUCACUUGGAGAAGCUUCCAAUUUCUAAAUCUUGGGCAGCUAACUCCUCUGACAAUCACAGGGUAAGGGACCUUUUACGUGGUUGGAGGAGGAGAUUUUGCCACUACUUGACAUCAUUUGCCAAUGACUCUAUUGGCCGACGGGAAGUUGAUUGGAUUGGUGGCGCCGGUAACCAUAAGGAUGCAUUUUUACCCUUGUAUGGAAAUUUACUAGCCUUCUUUGCCCUGUCAAAUUGUAUCUUUGAGGGGGAGAAAGAGAGGAGCAAGUCCAUGCUAGAUGAAGUUUCUGUGCUUGGCAGGACUCUGCGUCCAUUUCUUAGAAACCCGAUGAUAUGCAACCUAUAUUUGUUAGUGAUUGAUUCACAUGAGAAAAUGGUCGGCGCAACUGCUAGUGAUAUGAACAAAAGCUUGAUAGGAAAUUCUUCCGACUGGGAAGGUUUCAAUCCUUAUUUUCUCCUUAGGUGUGAAGUAUAAUCUUUUGUAAUUCUAAUUCCAUGAUCUGUACGCAAAGGGAUCGCAGCCAUAUCUUUUGGGAGUUAGGAGCCUCCCAAAGUUGUAGAGACCUUUUGAGUUUGCUACAUAUCUAAUACAUGUAUAACUUGCUCUAUAAUUUCCGCGAAUAUCUCUUCAUUACACACAGAGGGAUUUCUUUAUUGCUGCAUUUUUCUGUUUUACUCGGCGCCAUCUCCAUUUCGAAGGCGGAUUUCCAAUUUUUUUUUUUGGGGUAAAACUUCCUACACACACACUGCCCAACCAUUUUUCUUCUUUAAUUUAAAUCACGAAUAAAGGUGCUACAGUAAUAUUUUCCUAUUUACCCAUCUAAUCGAUCCGAUAUCGGACUGGAUAUUUAGACCACAUAAUAGAAUGGAAUCGUGUUCAUGAGACAUCACAUCCGAUCAAAUUGGUACCCUUCUAGGUAUUUCAGGAAGGCCACCGGACCUCUACCCUUGGUGUUUUUGACCCUGGAUAUAAGUUAAGAAACCUUAAACAGAACAUUUGCAUAUAAUAACUAAGGCCAUGACUACACUUGUGUAAAUCUCUUCAUAGCAGAAGAGAGAACUCUGCAGGAGGUACGUGCAGCUACAGUAAUAAAAAUUUUCCCAAGUGAUUAGUCGGAAAUAACUGAAAUUUGUGCUUGCCAUUACAAAUUUGCAAAAUACCAACAAAAGAGAGAUGCAAAAAUAACUAUCAAGUGUCAUCCUCCUCGUUGCCAUCCUCAUCAUCAUCUUCCUCAUCAUCAUCACCUUUUCCCUUAAUUAAAGAUGAGGAAAUAGACAUUAGACGCGGGCAGUAAAGGAAAGGAAAUAAAAAGGCAAAUGAUAUUUGCACUCUAGGCACUCCACACUUGCUCAUUUUCGUUUAAAGUGACAAAAAGACCCAUAACCUAGAAUCCUUGACUAUUUGAAUAACAAAAUUGCCCCCAAAGGCAUAGUAAAUGCAUAGAGGGGCAAUUUCGUCUCUUUAAAUAAUUUAUAGGUUUUUUGUGUCAUUUCAUUAACUGAUAAGCGAAGAUAGGGUGCAAGGAGCUUAUCUUGGAGUGCCAAUAUCAUUUGCCGUAAAAAAUGAACUAAAUUGUAACAGAUUAUAGAAAAAUGUUACAAGCAGUUGUAGCAGUUGACAAAUAGCACAGAAGCCAAUAUUUACAGCUCAAAAACAAGAAGGAGUCCAUGCACCAAAUACCACGAAACAGAGCUAACAGGAAGUGAAACACCAGAACUUCUCCUACUUCUGUAUUGCCACCAUAGCCAGAGUUAUCUGACCUCUGCUUUCAAAGAUAAGACCCAAGAGACUUAAAUCUGUUUCUUAUUUACUACUUAGCAUGUACUUCUUACAAAACACAACAGAUGUCAGAAUUGGAACAAAAAAGUGAAGAGAAGUCAUGAAGGUACAAGUAAAUUGGUAACCAUCCAUAUGACAACAUCAAAUAACAGAAAAGUGGCCUUUGAUAUGGAUAUUGGCAGCUUAUUAUAAAAGAAAGUGAAAACUAAAGAAAGCAGAUUGGUGUUAUAUGUCAACCUGGUCCUCUGAGUUCGUAACUAAAUGAUCACCAACUCAAGAAACAAAUCUCAACUCUUGGAUGAAUAUCCAUAGAAGUUAUGGUACUGAUAAAAUUGGAACUGGGGGACUAAAAUUUAGUCAAAUCCAGGAGAGAGGGUGCAUGAGUUAGUAAAUGAGAAGCUUUUCUAGGUUCUAAAGUGCCUGCCUGUUUCCAUGGGUUCCACAAAAUGUAAAAAAGCAAAAGCGUUGAUUUAUACCUCUUCAUCAUCCUCUUCUCCCUCGGAAUCCUCUUCAUCAGCUUCCUAUCAAAUCAAAAUAUGAAUUCUGUAAGCAAGGAGAAAGAGCUAUAAAUCAGAAAAAAGGAACAGUCAAAAUGGAUUUUACAUUGUUGAAAUAUUUCAGAGGGUUUGGCCAUAAAUCCUCCUUAAUUAUCUCUGCCACCUGCAUGUUUAAAGUAGAUGACAGAUAGAAUGAGAACAGGGAAGAAACCAUACUUCUUUAUUCAUCUAGAGCUACAAAGAUCACAAUAAAGUGAUCAUUAGAAGUAACAACUUGAAAGCCAGCCAAAAGUGUCAACCAUAUAUAUUACUACAUUUUACCACAAACAAAAAUAGCUAAUAAAGUUCUUAUAAUUGUAUGGAGAAUGAAUGUGAAAAGGCUUCAUAAAUUCAACAAGUAAUUACCUCAUCAUUAAGCCCCUCUACCUCAAGCGUAUCUUUUUGUUGUGUUUCAGAAAACCAACUAAAGAAGCUGCAUUGACAAUGCCCAAAAAAAAAAAAAAUGGUGAACUCUAGAUCAUACUUUCAGUUUAAGGGAAACAUACAGGACCUUUAGUAGAUAACUUAUAGCUUUCAACAGGUAAGUGACAUCAAUUCAUCAGAUGGUCACAACAAGAUAAAGGUGAGAAGCAUAUAUGCAGAUUUGCAUGUGCUUAACAAUUGGAAGACCAUGAAGAUUUUCCUCUUCACAAUCACAAUUGGACUUAAAAUAUAGUCCGGACUUGAGUUGCAGUUUCUAAAGAAGAGAUUUUCACUUGGUCAAUGCUCAGCUAGAAUACUAAGCAUAGCUAUUCAAGCUAAAAUGUCAGUCAACACCAUGGUCAAUGAAAAGCAUAAUCAGCAGUUGGAGCUCAAUAUGUAUCUACUAUACAUUAAACAACUUUUACAAUCUAAAACAUGCAUGCAACAAUGACGUUAACAUCUCCCUAAAUUCCUAACAGUUGGAUAAUUAUUAUCCUUAGCUCCAUGUGGUCAUCUAUAAGUUGAAGAUGCUAACAUCACAAAGCGUAUUUAUUUUCCAUGUCCAAAAAGCCAAUCAUCUGAUAUAGAGUCUAGGGAAAAAUCUGAAUAGAAAUGCAUUAAUUAGCAGAAAAUACCUGUCAUCAGAUGCUGGUCGUUUAUUUCCUUUCUUUUCAUGACUGCCUCCAUUUGCAGCCCCCUUCAAUUUUUUGAAGUUGUAGAAUUCAAAAUUAUAUACAAUAAAGGAUUCAAACUGCCCAAGAAGGAAUAUAUAUUCAAAUUAUUACCAUGCCUUCCUUCCACUUGAUAGCUGUACCAAUUAUCCUUGUUGUUCCUUCAUCUAAGAAGAUAAAUGUCUUUGUCAGCUUCGUAUCUUCAAAAUAUGGGUUUUGCUUGAAAUUCUGAAGAUCAAAAGCAAGAUUUCAGGUAAGAAUACAAGUACAAUACAUAGAUCAAUAACCAGCCUGCAAUGUCAAUUGUCCAUUUGUUUUUCUGAAGGAUGAAAGUUUCACGAGUAAAAGAAGAAACACACAAAUGUAAUUGAGUAACCCGAUUUCACAUCCUUAAAAUCCUCCACAUCAAGCGAAUCCAAAUAUUUGAAAAUCUGCAUAAGAAAUAAAUGUACAACCAAAUAAUCAGUGGCUAACAUUCACUAAAGAUGGUCAAGAAAAAAUAAAUUUAUCCUCCUAUGCUUAUAUCAGGAGGGUAAAUUGAAUGGCAAACUAAUCAGACCAAGUCAAAAGGUAAACUGAAAGGAAAAUCCUUUGGACUCCCAACCAAAAAUUUCCAAUCCACUAAAUUUCUAAGCACGUUGCAUACCUUCUGAUCCUCCUCAUUCAACAGAUCACCAAGCGCUGGAUGACUCAAAAACUGCAGGAAAAAGUAAAUUAAUAAAAAAUAAAUAACUAAAAGGAUCCCCUAAUAAGUUUCAACUUCAUUGAAAUUAGAAAAGGGAUGGCUUUGUAACUCACAGCAGUCAACCAAAAGUCAGGAAUUGUCUUUAUGAUCUCGCUUCUUCGGACAUAAACAGGCCUCCGUAAUUCAUUGUACUUCUGUUCAAUUUCCAGUACUUUGUCACUGGCAUCUUCAUUUACCUGCAAAGAAUAAGUCUUUUAGUCAAGCCCCACUUCCGCGCAAAGAAUCCCAGGCAGGAAAGAAUUAAGAGAAGAAUUCAUCUGGAAGUGUCUAAUCAACUUUUGUUUUUUUCUGUCUCCCUUAUUUAUUUAGCCAUCUUUCCUAAUUCCUGGGUGUCAAUUCUUUACCAUAUCAGCAUAUAUACUUGCCAGAAAAUUUCCAGGUCCACAUACAUCAUAUCAAGAUCAAACUAACUGGCUACAUGUAUAAACAAUUCCCAUCUUUGUAUGUCUACAUAAAUAUAUCUACUUACAAAAAUCUACACAGAAUGAAAUAAUUCAACAGCCUGUCUAACAGAUCAUAAUAUGAUAAAGAAGACCUGAUGGAAAGGCAAAAGGAUCCAAUCCAAGACACGAUUAUGCAUGCAUAAAUACAUGUAUUGAUGUAUGUCAGGGGGAUCCAAAAACGUUCUUCAGCUCAUCUUGGACAUCCCUAACUUUCUUAGUUUUAGCAGAAAGUUCAGCACGCUGAACAGGAUCUUCCUCAUCGCUAUCUCCAUGAAUGCUCGAUUUCUUUCCAGGAAAUGCAGCCAUACUUUUGUUGGAGAUAGUGAGGCAAAUAGAAAUUCUCAGGCCAAAAAAUCUUGCGGGUUUGUGAUUGUAAAUAACUUGCACUUUCAGGAGAACAUACUAUUGGCACACAGAACAGGUGGAUGGUGGAUGUCAAGUCAAAAAAAGCAAGGUCAACAUGUUUAAGUAUGCUCCUUCAGAUGUGCAAAUUCAGGGAAGAAAAAAUUUCACAUCUGUUAUGAGCAUCAUUGUCCAACCAUUCAUCCUUUCAAAUUUCAGCAAAAAAGAGUUAAUGUAUAUAUCUUUGCUAACAUCUACAGUGUAAGAGUUAGCAGGAAGGAACUACAUCAGUUUUCUCAUAUAUUAACCUUGAUUAACACCAAAAAAAUGAGGCAACAACUACAAAAACAUUAUCAAGUACUCGCCCACUCCACAAACAAUUUUUCCUUGUAGAAGACAGAAGUCAACAUAUUAACUAGCAUCUGUACAAGGAUCAAGGAAAAACAAAUACUCCCUCCGUCCCACUUUGAUAAUCUUGGUUCUUUUUUCACACAGUUUAAGAAAAAGUAGUUAACUUUGUUGAAACAAUCAAUUUAGGUAGCUAUUUUCCUAAAAUACCCUCACAUUAAUUAGAGUACAACUUUAUGGGAACUUGAAUUGAUGGUAAAAAAAGAAUAAACUCUCGUUAAAUGGGGUAAGUUUAUAGUAACAACAACUUACAUUGAACAAGGGUAUUUUAAAAAAAUUAAAAUACAACUACAUUCUUCAAUUGGAAAGUGGACUACAAUUUGGGACAGACGAAACAGGAAAACAUGACUAUCAAAGUGGGACGGAGGGAGUACAAGAAGAUUUUCACGUGCAUAAUUCUGUGCCUUCAAAAAUUAUCCUUUCCAACAAAAAUAAAACUGCAUACAAAGCCUUUUCCUCUUUAUUUCCAUUCGUUGCACCGAAACACUACAACAUUUUGCAAGGCAAACAGGGAUCACCUUUUGUAGAAAUAAACCGCUAGAAAAGUUAUAAUUGAGAGGAAGAAAAAUUAAGUAGAUAUGUAGGGGGAGAUGGGAAACAGAGGAGACCAAAACUAAAAUCAAAUUUUUUUAAUUUUGCCAAGUAAAGGAAAAGUAUUCAUUAGAAUAUUAACCUAAAAUGUGGUCUGUUUCCAUCAAACUAAAAAGUACCUUUCGCCUGAUAGGAGGGGAUAAGGAGAAGUAACAAUUGGAGGUGGGGGUAAUAAAAAUUAUAUUGCUAAUCUAAUUAAAAACUAUCAGAAGAAGCAAAUGCAAGGCAAGGAGCUUCUUGUAUCUGCAGCGAUCAACAGAUGAGUGUAUAGAAGGACCAAUUUGUACUUGCUUAAGCUCUAGCAUCUAAAUAUCAGCCGUCCACAACUCAACCCAACCCUCCAAUGUAUUGACGUAAAAACCCUAGUGGCUCUCAUCUAUGACCAUGCAGAUGUUAGUAAUUCCACGAACAAAAUCCCAAUAUGUGAAACUAGUACUGGUUCAUUCACGAUAAUGAUGACAAUUUUUUCUAAUAGAAAACUAGAAACGUUUAGUAUAAAUUAUGCAAAAGGAAAAAAAAAUAUACCUUUUCAAGCUCGUCCUGGACUUCUUGAAGCUUCUCGAUAGAGAGAACAAGCUCGCCAUCAAUGGGAUCGGAGUCUUCCUCCGCUGGAGCGGCCACCUUGGAUUUCUUUCCUCGCUCAGCCACCAUCUGUUUGUUUAGAGAAUGAAAGGAAACCCUAGGCGGGUUGUAGGCAGUUAAGCUUAAGCUUCAACCCCUGGAUUGGAUUGGUGGAAUGAGGAGUGGGGAUUGUAUGAAGCGGCAGAGUGAAGGGAGUCCAACUUCUUUUCGAGGGCAGAGACAACAAUUAAAUGAAAAUAUGUGGGCAAAUGUUUUUAAGUUACUUGUUCACCAUUUUGUGUCUAAGCUCUGCUAGUACUCAAUCGAAGCUAAUUUAUGGUCACAAACAUUCUCUUACCAUCAAUGAAAGGUUUUGGACAUAUAUAUACUGUAAAUCUUGCAUAAAAUUGAAGGUGUAUACAUUAUCGCGGUUGGAUAUAUGAUAUAUAUACAUAAUUUAAAUUUCAAAUUCAAAUUCAAAUAAUCUGUCAUGAAUUUUAUGAUGAAAGUGCAUAUACUGUUAAUACAAAAGAACGGCGCAAAAACUAUGCUAAUAUAAAAAACAACAGGAUGAAGAUAUCAGAACCAACAAUGAGCACCAACAACAUCAUCAGAUCCUCGAAUUAAGUCUAAUAAGAUAAAUCUAAUUAGUAGUUAGAAAAUAAUUUUUAUUACGAAUGUCUAACUCUAAGAUUGUAACUACCUCUUUCAAACAUAAGGGCGAUAUAAUAUAUCCUAGCAUACUCAUUGGAGUUUUUUUUCGCCUCUUUAUAUGAUCAUAUAGUAUAAUCAUGUAAUAGUAUCUCUUUUUUUUUUUCAGUGAAGGAUCAAUAGUAAUUGUAAGUUUUGUCGGGAUGAUUCCUUCGGAAAAAAAAAAUAAUGACUUGUGUUUUAGUCCUCUAUGUUAUGGCCUCUUCAAUUGAUUCUUUAUUGUUUAGAUUUGACUUAAUUUUCAGAUAUUCUUCUGACUUAUUUCAUUUUUAGUUCCCGUUGGCGUUGUAUUUGAAUGCUAAUUGAUCCUUAAAUCCGUAUUGACUUUUUUUGUAGUAUGCUUUGAGGCGUCCUCCUUCAAAAUCAAGCAUAAAAGAUGCAUGGAUCCUAUGUAUAUAUCGUGGAGUCAUUGGCAUGCUAAUCAAGAAGCCAAACUAUGCAAUUUCGGUACUCAGCUCUAUUCUGUUAUUAAUCGUUAGUUCCCCACUUCUUUUUUUUUUUUUUUGGAGAGGGAGAGCAGUAGAAUAAUAAGAUUAAUAGAGAUAAUAAUAUUUCUCUCAAAUAGUUUGUUUUAUUGAAGGGAACAAAACCCAAAAUAAGCACAACAUGAGUUGAUCUAGCAAAUCUAUGAGUGGAUGGUAUGCUUGGAACUUUCACAUAACCACAGUGGUAAUCAGUAAGGUCUAAACGUAUACUAUGGUGAUGACUCCAGCCCAAGCACCCUUCCAAUUAUUUAUGAUCCAUCAUAUCGAUCUCUCGCAGUAUCCAUCUCAAGGAAUGCUGGAAAUCAAACACAGGAGACGAAAAGACAAAUUCCGGUUAGCGAGAAAACGUAAUAAUAAUUACAGUACUAUAUUAGUAGUACGCAUCAAAAAAGAAUGAUGACGGUCCAAAUCAAAACCAAAAGCAGCAAAAAGAAAAAAAGAAAAAAAAAAAAGAAACACUAAGCGCAGCACCUGUUGCAGUUAGUACUAGAAGAGAUGGGGAAAGGCAAGGAGACACCACACCGUCCAGGAAGGCUUGUGGCAGCAUCCGGCUUGAGAUUUGGGAAGUGGCCGGCGGCAGACUUGACGCAGUUGCAUGCAGUUCGCCUAUCUUGUUGGGUAGGGAUGCUCCCCAAGUUUUUCACUCCACUACAGCAUGAACUUGAUGGAGUGCCUCCUUGGGUGAGAUACGGCACGCAAGGCUCAAGUUCGUGGGUAACUUGUUCACAGGUGAUUGCUUCACCUGGCCUUGCCACCAAGACUAGCACCAGAACAAGACUUACCACUGCAACCACCUUCAUCAUGUUUUCGCCGGAUCAACUAGUAGUAUACGAUUUGCGCGGAAUAUACUCGAGUGAGAGGGGU